This 68-nucleotide transfer RNA is filed under the name Typhlatya galapagensis. RNAcentral describes it as "tRNA-Ser". Lineage: Eukaryota; Metazoa; Arthropoda; Malacostraca; Decapoda; Atyidae. The record is from RNAcentral.
GGAGUAAGAUUUGUAUCAAAUAAAAGCUUCUAACUUUUUUUAAGCGGUUUAAAUCCGUUUUUAUUCCU